Molecule: long non-coding RNA, 1446 nt
Filed under: Salmo salar (Atlantic salmon)
Lineage: Eukaryota; Metazoa; Chordata; Actinopteri; Salmoniformes; Salmonidae
Description: lncRNA (ENSSSAG00000094689.1)
Source: RNAcentral
GAGCUCUGUUAAGGUCAGAGGAUAAAUUAUGAGCUGACCUUUCAGGGCUGCCUGGAUGCUGACAUAAUAAGAUGUGGCAUGCUGGGUGUUUCACACUGGGAGUUUCACGCUGGGUGUGUCAUGAUGGAUGUAUGAUGAAUGGUGUGUCACACUGGGUGUGUCCCUCUAGGUGUGUCCCUCUAGGUGUGUCACACUGGGUGUGUCCCUCUAGGUGUGUCCCUCUUGGUGUGUCACACUGGGUGUGUCCCACUGGGUGUGUCCCUCUAGGUGUGUCACACUGGGUGUGUCCCUCUAGGUGUGUCCCUCUAGGUGUGUCACACUGGGUGUGUCCCUCUAGGUGUGUCCCUCUAGAUGUGUCACACUGGGUGUGUCCCUCUAGGUGUGUCCCUCUAGGUGUGUCACACUGGGUGUGUCCCUCUAGGUGUGUCCCUCUAGGUGUGUCACACUGGGUGUGUCCCUCUAGGUGUGUCCCUCUAGGUGUGUCACACUGGGUGUGUCCCUCUAGGUGUGUCACACUGGGUGUUUCCCUCUAGGUGUGUCCCUCUAGGUGUGUCACACUGGGUGUGUCCCUCUAGGUGUGUCCCUCUAGGUGUGUCCCUCUAGGUGUGUCCCUCUAGGUGUGUCUCUCUAGGUGUGUCUCUCUAGGUGUGUCCCUCUAGGUGUGUCUCUCUAGGUGUGUCCCUCUAGGUGUGUCCCUCUAGGUGUGUCUCUCUAGGUGUGUCCCUCUAGGUGUGUCUCUCUAGGUGUGUCCGCUGGGUGUGUCCCUCUAGGUGUGUCUCUCUAGGUGUGUCUCUCUAGGUGUGUCCGCUGGGUGUGUCCCUCUAGGUGUGUCCCUCUAGGUGUGUCCCUCUAGGUGUGUCUCUCUAGGUGUGUCUCUCUAGGUGUGUCCGCUGGGUGUGUCCCUCUAGGUGUGUCUCUCUAGGUGUGUCCCUCUAGGUGUGUCUCUCUAGGUGUGUCCGCUGGGUGUGUCCUUCUAGGUGUGUCACACUGGGUGUGUCCCUCUAGGUGUGUCCCUCUAGGUGUGUCCCUCUAGGUGUGUCCGCUGGGUGUGUCCCUCUAGGUGUGUCCCGCUUGGUAUGUCACGCUGGGUGUGUCACGCUGGGUGUGAUAUGAUGGGUGUGUCACGCUGGGUGUGUCAUGAUGGGUGUGUCACGCUGGGUGUGCCAUGAUGGGUGUGUCACGCUGGGUGUGCCAUGAUGGGUGUGUCACGCUGGGUGUGUCAUGCUGGGUGUGUGAUGAUGGGUGUGUCAUGAUGGGUGUGUCACGCUGCGUGUGCCAUGAUGGGUGUGUGAUGAAGGGUGUAUCAUUGUGUAUCCAUUUCAAAGAGAAUAAUUAAUAUAUAUAUAUAUUAUAUUCCGGCCCCUGGUAAUGACAACCAGGUCCCUCUCUAGUGUGAGGGUUUAUCUCCGUCCACUGGGGGGACGAUGGUGAAUGGAGCUGUCAGAU